Pseudophryne corroboree (corroboree frog) is the source of this 1338-nucleotide long non-coding RNA. RefSeq lists it as uncharacterized. NCBI's taxonomy places the organism in Eukaryota, Metazoa, Chordata, Amphibia, Anura, Myobatrachidae. The record is from RefSeq and is a predicted model, not a curated record. The transcript has 3 exons.
GUAAUGAGACACUGUCGGAUGAGGGUCAAAUAGUGCUUCCUGCAGUUUACACAUCUUGAUUUCCUGGUAAACAGACUGAAAGGCAGGUGGAGCACUAGGAUUAGCUGUAAAGGGAUGGUGCUCACACCAGCAGAACUAAGCUAGGAGGAACCUGCUUAUAUAAAAUGGGGUGGAAAUCGUGAAAAUUAUGUUUAGCUUGUGAAAAAGGCACAAAGAUGAAGACAUGUGAGACUGUGACUCCAGAAAAAUGAUAGAAAGGAAGGACAAUUUAUUAGAGCACAGGAGAACUACAGAACGCUGGAAGGUCACAGCCUGUGAGCGGUGCUGCUAGCAAACACAGAGAUGAUGCUCCAAAGCUGCCAUUUUUCUUCCUCGACACAGACUCCAUCUGCCACAGACCCAUUUGUAGCCUCAGAGUCAGAAUAUCAAUGAUAUAUCCAACCAUCCUGCUAGUCUGCUUUCACCUUCACAUCACCUCUAAAACACACAGCUACACAACAAGCUCUGGGCUCUGGCUUUAUUCUUCUGAGAGUGGAUUUCAGCCUGAUACAUGGAGACAUUUAUACUUUAUCACAUGUGUGUGUGUGUGAGUGCAUUUGGUUAUAUAGUAUUACAUAGUACACACAGGAGGGGAGAUAAUAGUAUUUCCACACAUUUAUAUAAAUGGAUUAAGCUGCAUAAGGAUGUGGAUACAGAAAUAUAUAGAUCAGUAGAUACAAUGUUAUAUAUGGGAUCCGAGUGUGUGUACACACACACACACACACACACGCACGCACUACUGUAGAUGAUUUUAGUGAUAUAUUAAUAUAUAUAAUAGCACACAAAUAUAUACACAGAUCUAUAUGUAGACAUAACACAUAUUAAUGCACUGUAGCAUUUCUGGAUGGCACAGAGAAAACACUACCAAUAAAGGUUGUAUUUGGCCUGUAUAAAGAUGGAGUCAUUGCCCCAAACUUAGCCGCUCUCAUAUAGUGAAGGGCGCUUUCUAUCACGCUGCAGUAUUCCUGCCCCCUGCAGGGUGCCACACAAGGGAAUUUGUGAUCAACACGAUGUACAAAAAGUGCUCUAUCCACAUAACAUGUAACAGGGGCGCCAUGGUGCCAUUCUCCUCAAAAAAUGUCCUCCAUCUGUAAUACAGAAAGCCCUGUGCACGAAUGGAUGGAACUUUUAGGACAUCCUGUAAUUACUAGACCCUAGCAACUGAUGGAAAAUGAAACACGGGUGUAGUAAUUAUGUAUAUGGUUAGUUACGUGGCUGGAAAUCUGUUAGAUUGUUAGCUUAAGGCAAAUAAUAGCAUAAAAUAACAUAAUAAAUAACAUUUCCUACAAUGCUAAGUAA